This 433-nucleotide ribosomal RNA is filed under the name uncultured bacterium. RNAcentral describes it as "partial 16S ribosomal RNA". It matches the Rfam family "Bacterial small subunit ribosomal RNA", at positions 29 to 507 of the family's 1533-position model. The record is from RNAcentral.
AACGAACGCUGGCGGCAUGCCUAACACAUGCAAGUCGAACGAGACCUUCGGGUCUAGUGGCGCACGGGUGCGUAACGCGUGGGAACCUGCCCUUAGGUUCGGAAUAACUCCCCGAAAGGGGUGCUAAUACCGGAUAAUGUCUUCGGACCAAAGAUUUAUCGCCUUUGGAUGGGCCCGCGUUGGAUUAGCUAGUUGGUAGGGUAAAAGCCUACCAAGGCGACGAUCCAUAGCUGGUAUGAGAGGAUGAUCAGCCACACUGGGACUGAGACACGGCCCAGACUCCUACGGGAGGCAGCAGUGGGGAAUAUUGGACCAUGGGCGAAGGCCUGAUCCAGCAAUGCCGCGUGAGUGAUGAAGGCCUUAGGGUUGUAAAGCUCUUUUAACCGGGAUGAUAAUGACAGUACCGGGAGAAUAAGCUCCGGCUAACUCCGUG